RNAcentral lists this ribosomal RNA (366 nucleotides) under Triticum aestivum (bread wheat). RNAcentral's name for it is "partial small subunit ribosomal RNA". Lineage: Eukaryota; Viridiplantae; Streptophyta; Magnoliopsida; Poales; Poaceae. The record is from RNAcentral.
AUGGCCGACAUCGAGAAUCCUGGUUCCGAGAAGGACGGCCAGGGCCUCGUGGUGAUGGUGGCGGAGCGGAGCAAGUUCGUCAGGAUCACGGCCAUGUGCACGCUGCUCUUCUUUGGUUUUGCGUUACUAUUCAUCUCAUUACUCCUAGUCCAACUCUUCCAGUACACCUAUCCGAAGAACAAGCUCGCCGUCGUUGCGUUAGUCAUGGGGAUCAUAGGCAUGCCUGUUGCUUUGUCAUGGAUAUUGCUUUUCUGCCGUUUCACUGAAGACCUCCCCAUCCUCGACGAAGAUACAAAGAGACGUGGGGGACUCAUAGAUAGGUUCGUCCAAUUCCACGUUGAUUUUUUUAAGGUGCUAGUUCGCUGA